Molecule: ribosomal RNA, 443 nt
Filed under: uncultured bacterium
Lineage: Bacteria
Description: partial 16S ribosomal RNA
Rfam family: Bacterial small subunit ribosomal RNA
Source: RNAcentral
CCUACGGGUGGCAGCAGUGGGGAAUAUUGGGCAAUGGGCGCAAGCCUGACCCAGCAACGCCGCGUGAAGGAAGAAGGCUUUCGGGUUGUAAACCUCUUUUCUCAGGGACGAAGCAAGCGACGGUACCUGAGGAAUAAGCCACCGCUAACUACGUGCCAGCAGCCGCGGUAAUACGGAGGUGGCAAGCGUUAUCCGGAUGUACUGGGUGUAAAGGGCGUGUAGGCGGGAAAGCAAGUCAGAUGUGAAAACCAGGGGCUCAACCUGUGGCCUGCAUUUGAAACUGUGUUUCUUGAGUACUGGAGAGGCAGGCGGAAUUCCUAGUGUAGCGGUGAAAUGCGUAGAUAUUAGGAGGAACACCAGUGGCGAAGGCAGUCUGCUGGACAGCAACUGACGCUGAGGCGCGAAAGCGUGGGGAGCGAACAGGAUUAGAUACCCGUGUAGUC